AAUAGAUAACCGCUGAAAGCAUCUAAGCGGGAAACUAGCCUCAAGAUGAGAUCUCACUGGAACCUUGAGUUCCCUGAAGGGCCGUCGAAGACUACGACGUUGAUAGGUUGGGUGUGUAAGCGCUGUGAGGCGUUGAGCUAACCAAUACUAAUUGCCCGUGAGGCUUGACCAU
This 172-nucleotide ribosomal RNA is filed under the name Pseudomonas rhodesiae. RNAcentral's name for it is "partial 23S ribosomal RNA". It matches the Rfam family "Bacterial large subunit ribosomal RNA", at positions 2759 to 2925 of the family's 2925-position model. The record is from RNAcentral. Lineage: Bacteria; Pseudomonadati; Pseudomonadota; Gammaproteobacteria; Pseudomonadales; Pseudomonadaceae.